This is a non-coding RNA of Sulfurimonas sp. GWF2_37_8, 380 nucleotides long. The record is from Rfam. NCBI's taxonomy places the organism in Bacteria, Pseudomonadati, Campylobacterota, Epsilonproteobacteria, Campylobacterales, Sulfurimonadaceae.
GGGGACGACAUGGCUUCGACUGGAGCUAUUCGCCUGUAAUUGCAUGUCGGACUGAGCAACUCCGUUAUACGGCUCACCUUGCUUAAAUGCAAACAAUACAAAUUACCGCCCAGCUUACGCAGUAGCAUAAGUUUUACCCCCUCGCAAGAGGACGGGCUGCUUCACCUAUGGACUCUAGAUAAGUAGGAUUCGAAGUAUAACCCCCUAUGUAGAUAUAUCUCGCGUUUGUCUCGAACGCAGGAUGAAACCCAGAGGCUCGUCUUGUGUAGCUUUGCAAGCUGUGUGAAGCAAGAUUAAACUAUAAAACGGCUUUACUAAACAUGUAGACGUUGCAGGUAGCUAGCUUUAGGACUCCGGUUCAAUCCCGGACGUCUCCACCA